GAUAACGAUACAUAUUCAUUAAAGGAGUUAGAUGAUACAAGGUUGAAAAUAUCUAUUGCUAGGAAGCAUGUGAAGAUUUUUAAAAGAUGAGAUAGAGAAAUCAAAUGGAAGAUCAUGUUGAAGAUAUCGAUAUUUUUGAAGAAGAUAAUUAUGUUGAAGAUGAUGGUGAAAAUAGAAAUGAAGAUUUGAUGAAAAAAAAUGAAGAAAUGGUGUAAUGUCAAUUAUGACAUUUGAUUUAUUUAGAGCAUGCCAAAAGAUGCACAGGUUAAGAGGGAAUAGAUGUCGUGAUGUAAUACGAUUAUAUAGUGAAAUUAUAAUUAAAAUUGAAUUUCUAAUUAAUAUCUAAUUAUCUUAGUUCAAUUAUAAUUUGAGGUAUCUAAACAUGGCUUUUAAAAAAACCUCUUAGGUUAUUUCUUUAUCUUAAUAGUUAGUAAGUUGAAAGU
Molecule: long non-coding RNA, 443 nt
Filed under: Physcomitrium patens
Lineage: Eukaryota; Viridiplantae; Streptophyta; Bryopsida; Funariales; Funariaceae
Description: long non-coding RNA (PPAT_LNC002583)
Source: RNAcentral